This is a long non-coding RNA of Oncorhynchus tshawytscha (Chinook salmon), 365 nucleotides long. Lineage: Eukaryota; Metazoa; Chordata; Actinopteri; Salmoniformes; Salmonidae. The record is from Ensembl.
GGGCUAUAUAAAUAAAUUUGAUUUGAUUUGGUGAGUUGUAUCUCCAGACAGAGGAACAGUUAUAGUGGUGAGUUGUAUCUCCAGACAGAGGAACAGUUAUAGUGGUGAGUUGUAUCUCCUGAGGAACAGUUAUAGUGGUGAGUUGUAUCUCCAGACAGAGGUACAGUUAUAGUGGUGAGUUGUAUCUCCUGAGGAACAGUUAUAGUGGUGAGUUGUAUCUCCAGACAGAGGUACAGUUAUAGUGGUGAGUUGUAUCUCCAGACAGAGGAACAGUUAUAGUGGUGAGUUGUAUCUCCAGAGGAACAGUCAUAGUGGUGAGUUGUAUCCCCAGAGGAACAGUUAUAGUGGUGAGUUGUAUCUCCAGA